UAUGGCUGUGGUAAGUACAAUUGCCUUUCAUAUUGAACUGUUUUGAUGACCUGUAUUUUGCAUUGUAAAAUGUGUUUCUUUUUCAUUUCAGUAUGGCUGUGGUAAGUACACAAACUUUCUUUAAUUUUCAUAUUGAACUGUUUUGAUGACUUGUAUUCUGCUAUACAAAAUGUGCUUUUUUCAAUUUCAGGUCAGCAAUGGUAAGUAUAGUGUGUUUUUUUAUGUAUAAUUUUGUAUACAUAUUGUUUUUUUCAUCAUAGCAUGUCUUUUAUAUUUAUGCUUUGUGUAAGUAAAAUGUUCAUAAAUCAUUCUUAUCUUCAAACUAAAAAUGUAUUGUGCUAUGCAAAAUGUCUGUAUGAUUUCAGUUGCCAGAGGUGAGUACCAUUACAGUUGAAAAGUUAGUUUUGUUUAGUUAAAGUUUUGGUUCACAGUUCUGUUUGUUAUUUGGCAAAAUUUACAUGUAUGCAUUGAGUCUUGAUUUCAGCUCGAUUGUGGACUGAAGAAGAUUGCCCGCAGAGGGAUUGGAUACAAAAUACAAAGUAAGUACUGAGUUUCUUACUAAAAGUUUUGAGUUGUAUUCAUUGUAUGUUAAUAUGCUAUGAUUGCUAUGAACAUGACUUUUGUAUUUCAGCGAAGACAACAUAGGUAAGUAAAAUUGUUAUCUGUUUCAUGUUUACUGUUACAGUUCAAUAUUGUGUUUAUAAAUUGUAAGUUGUACAAACACAUUCAAAAGUUUCUAAUCAUGCUUUCGAUUUCAUUUCAGCUUUACUGCUAGACGAGUGUUCUCUACUACUUGACGAGUCAGCUUUACUACCAGGCGAGCAGUGACAACAAGGCGCCUUUGUGGAAACAACACAACAAAAAACUGUACUGCUAGACGAGCAGUGACAGAAAGGCGCCUGAACAUGCAACACAAAACAAAAAAUGCCAAUAUACAAACCUUGAUGUGGACACCGAGUAGUCAAUACAUACGUGUGGCGUACAGCUGCGACAAAACCGUGGGUCCAUCGCACCGAUAACUCGAAUAUUGGCCCGCGUAUGGACAUCAGUGCAACUUUGUGAAUCCAUG
Long non-coding RNA from Dreissena polymorpha, 1069 nucleotides. RefSeq lists it as uncharacterized. Lineage: Eukaryota; Metazoa; Mollusca; Bivalvia; Myida; Dreissenidae. The record is from RefSeq and is a predicted model, not a curated record. The transcript is spliced from 3 exons.